GUUUAUGGAAGGCUGUGCAAGUCACAUGCAGGGAGGUGUGACUAGGGUUCAUAAACAAAGGGAUUUAACUCCUAAAUGGCAGAGGAUUGAGCAGUGAGGCUGCAGGGGCAUGUUCUAUACACCAAAACUGCUUCAUUAAGCUAAAGUUGUUCAGGUGACUAUAGUGUCCCUUUAAAGUAUUCUAUUAUCAACCAUUGAUUUUAUAUAAAAUAAGUGCUAUUCUGGGGAUUAAGUAAAUCAUACUUAAA
This is a non-coding RNA of Pelobates cultripes (western spadefoot toad), 248 nucleotides long. The record is from the annotation of a GenBank genome assembly. NCBI's taxonomy places the organism in Eukaryota, Metazoa, Chordata, Amphibia, Anura, Pelobatidae.